This is a long non-coding RNA of Saccostrea cuccullata (small rock oyster), 752 nucleotides long. RefSeq lists it as uncharacterized. The transcript has 7 exons. Lineage: Eukaryota; Metazoa; Mollusca; Bivalvia; Ostreida; Ostreidae. The record is from RefSeq and is a predicted model, not a curated record.
AUAUAAAUAUGUUUGUGAGAGAUGCAUGUUGUGUACUUAUGUAAUGUAUGUAAUCUAUCUAUGCAUUGUAGGGAAGGGAGUUGGAGAGAAAAAGGAGAAAGAGCAGAAAAAAACCAGUGAAAGGUGCUUUAGGGAAUGAAGAAAAUGACCAAGAGAAUGUAUCAAUGGAAGGGAGUUGGAGAGAAAAAGGAGAAAGAGCAGAAAAAAACCAGUGAAAGGUGCUUUAGGGAAUGAAGAAAAUGACCAAGAGAAUGUAUCAAUGGAAGGGAGUUGGAGAGAAAAAGGAGAAAGAGCAGAAAAAAACCAGUGAAAGGUGCUUUAGGGAAUGAAGAAAAUGACCAAGAGAAUGUAUCAAUGGAAGGGAGUUGGAGAGAAAAAGGAGAAAGAGCAGAAAAAAAACCAGUGAAAGGUGCUUUAGGGAAUGAAGAAAAUGACCAAGAGAAUGUAUCAAUGGAAGGGAGUUGGAGAGAAAAAGGAGAAAGAGCAGAAAAAAACCAGUGAAAGGUGCUUUAGGGAAUGAAGAAAAUGACCAAGAGAAUGUAUCAAUGGAAGGGAGUUGGAGAGAAAAAGGAGAAAGAGCAGAAAAAAACCAGUGAAAGGUGCUUUAGGGAAUGAAGAAAAUGACCAAGAGAAUGUAUCAAUGGAAGGGAGUUGGAGAGAAAAAGGAGAAAGAGCAGAAAAAAACCAGUGAAAGGUGCUUUAGUGAAUGAAGAAAAUGACCAAGAGAAUGUAUCAAUGUAAGUACCUAUGUC